RNAcentral lists this transfer RNA (80 nucleotides) under Rhodococcoides kroppenstedtii. RNAcentral describes it as "tRNA-Ser". Lineage: Bacteria; Bacillati; Actinomycetota; Actinomycetes; Mycobacteriales; Nocardiaceae. The record is from RNAcentral.
CGGUGGUCGAGGUCCGCGCGGAGGACCGUCCCGGCCUGCUGUGCCGGUUGGCCGCGGUGUUCGAGACGCACGGCACCGAC